UUGGUCAUUUAGAGGAAGUAAAAGUCGUAACAAGGUUUCCGUAGGUGAACCUGCGGAAGGAUCAUUAAUGAAACUUCAAAGUCGGCCAAAGGUUGUUGCUGGUGAUUAUUCACAUGUGCACACCUUUGGUCGCAAAUCCACACACACCUGUGCAUCUAUGACUCGAGGUUGUAAUGACUGAGAGUAACUUUUAUACACUCUUGUAUGUAAUGGAAUGUCUUUUUGUGCUAUAAUGUACAAUAUAAACAACUUUCAACAACGGAUCUCUUGGCUCUCGCAUCGAUGAAGAACGCAGCGAAAUGCGAUAAGUAAUGUGAAUUGCAGAAUUCAGUGAAUCAUCGAAUCUUUGAACGCACCUUGCACCCUUUGGUAUUCCGAAGGGUACGCCCGUUUGAGUGUCAUUGUAAUCUCACUUCUACAACUUUAUUGUUGUUUGAAUGUGGACUUGGAUGUUGCCGUUUUAUCACGGCUCGUCUUAAAUGCCUGAGUGUACCCUGUUUUGCAGCGUAUCCAGUGUAAUAAACAUUUCACUAGAGUUGGUUGAAAGACCACGUUGACUAUAUGGGCUCUAUGCUUCAAACCGUCUGCCAUGUGGACAAUUUCUUGACAAUUUGACCUCAAAUCGGGUGGGACUACCCGCUGAACUUAAGCAUAUCAAUAAGCGGAGGAAAAGAAACUAACAAGGAUUCCCCUAGUAACGGCGAGUGAAGAGGGAAAAGCUCAAAUUUUAAAUCUGGUGUCUUUGACUCCCGAGUUGUAAUCUAGAGAAGUGUUUUCCGUGUCGGACCGUGUACAAGUUCCCUGGAACGGGGCGUCAUAGAGGGUGAGAAUCCCGUAUAUGCCAUGGACUACCGAUGCUCUGUGAUACACUCUCAACGAGUCGAGUUGUUUGGGAAUGCAGCUCAAAAUGGGUGGUAAAUUCCAUCUAAAGCUAAAUAUUGGCGAGAGACCGAUAGCGAACAAGUACCGUGAGGGAAAGAUGAAAAGCACUUUGGAAAGAGAGUGAAACAGUACGUGAAAUUGUUGAAAGGGAAGCGUUUGAAGUCAGUCGCAUCUGUUGGGGUUCAGCCUGGCUUUUGCCUGGUGUAUUUCCUUUCCGAUGGGUCAGCAUCAGUUUCGACCGAGGGAAAAAGACAUUUGGAAUGUGGCUGUCUUCGGGCAGUGUUAUAGCCUUGUGUUGUAUGUCUCGGUUGGGACUGAGGAUUGCAGCGCGCCAUAAAUGGCCGGGGGUCGCUCCUCUCGACACGCGCUUAGGAUGCUGGCAUAAUGGCUUUAAGCGACCCGUCUUG
Molecule: ribosomal RNA, 1289 nt
Filed under: uncultured Sebacina
Lineage: Eukaryota; Fungi; Basidiomycota; Agaricomycetes; Sebacinales; Sebacinaceae
Description: eukaryotic LSU rRNA
Rfam family: Eukaryotic large subunit ribosomal RNA (bases 613-1289)
Source: RNAcentral